RNAcentral lists this ribosomal RNA (377 nucleotides) under uncultured bacterium. RNAcentral describes it as "bacterial SSU rRNA". It matches the Rfam family "Bacterial small subunit ribosomal RNA", at positions 338 to 732 of the family's 1533-position model. The record is from RNAcentral.
CCUACGGGAGGCAGCAGUGGGGAAUCUUGCACAAUGGGGGAAACCCUGAUGCAGCGAUGCCGCGUGAGUGAAGAAGGCCCUUGGGUUGUAAAGCUCUUUCANAAGUGAAGAUGAUGACGGUAACUUCANAANAAGCUCCGGCUAACUCCGUGCCAGCAGCCGCGGUAAUACGGGAGUGGCAAGCGUUAUCCGGAAUUAUUGGGCGUAAAGCGUCUGCAGGCGGCUUUUCAAGUCUACUGUUAAAGCGUGGAGCUUAACUCCAUCAUGGCAGUGGAAACUGAAAGGCUUGAGUAUGGGAGGGGCAGAGGGAAUUCCCGGUGUAGCGGUGAAAUGCGUANAUAUCGGGAAGAACACCAGUGGCGAAGGCGCUCUGNUGG